AAUGAACGCUGGCGGCAUGCCUAAUACAUGCAAGUCGAACGAGACCAUCGGGUCUUGUGUCCUAUGACUUUGUAACGCGAGGGAAGAUUCCCACGUGUUCGGCCUACCUAUACGACAGGGGUACCAUUACCGGACCGUGUCUAAUGCCCAAAAAUAUAUUGCACUUGGUUGGUCACUCGUUGGAUUCGCUAGUUGGUAGGGUAAAAGACUACUAAGGCGACGAUCAAUAGCUGGUCAGAGAGACUGGUCAGCCACACUGAGACUGAGACCCGGCCCAGACUCCUACGGGAUGCAGCAGUGGGGAAUAUUGCACAAUGGGCGAAAGCCUGAUCCAGCAAUGCCGCGUGAGUUAUGAAGUCCUUAGAGUUGUAAAGCUCUUUUACCCGGGAUGAUAAUGACAGUACCGGGAGAAUAAGCUCCGGCUAACUCCGUG
RNAcentral lists this ribosomal RNA (433 nucleotides) under uncultured bacterium. RNAcentral describes it as "partial 16S ribosomal RNA". It matches the Rfam family "Bacterial small subunit ribosomal RNA", at positions 29 to 507 of the family's 1533-position model. The record is from RNAcentral.